AUACGUAGGGGGCGAGCGUUGUCCGGAAUGAUUGGUCGUAAAGGGCGCGUAGGCGGCGCGGUAAGUCUGGAGUGAAAGUCCUGCUUUCAAGGUGGGAAUUGCUUUGGAUACUGCCGCGCUUGAGUGCAGGAGAGGUUAUCGGAAUUCCCGGUGUAGCGGUGAAAUGCGUAGAGAUCGGGAGGAACACCAGUGGCGAAGGCGGGUAACUGGACUGCAACUGACGCUGAGGCGCGAAAGUGUGGGGAGCAAACAGGAUUAGAUACCCUGGUAGUCCACACUGUAAACGACGAAGGCUAGGUGUAAGAGGUAUCGACCCCUUUUGUGCCGGAGUCAACACAAUAAGCAUUCCGCCUGGGGAGUACGGCCGCAAGGUUGAAACUUAAAGGAAUUGACGGGG
RNAcentral lists this ribosomal RNA (397 nucleotides) under uncultured bacterium. RNAcentral's name for it is "partial 16S ribosomal RNA". It matches the Rfam family "Bacterial small subunit ribosomal RNA", at positions 523 to 918 of the family's 1533-position model. The record is from RNAcentral.